GACGAACCGAGCGAACGUUGUUCGGAAUCACUGGGCUUAAAGGGCGCGUAGGCGGGCUGCCAAGUUUGGGGUGAAAUCCACCGGCUCAACCGGAGAAGGGCCUCGAAUACUGGCGGUCUGGAGGGGGGUAGGGGCGUGCGGAACUAACGGUGGAGCGGUGAAAUGCGUUGAUAUCGUUAGGAACUCCGGUGGCGAAGGCGGCACGCUGGACCCUCACUGACGCUGAGGCGCGAAAGCCAGGGGAGCGAACGGG
Molecule: ribosomal RNA, 253 nt
Filed under: uncultured bacterium
Lineage: Bacteria
Description: partial 16S ribosomal RNA
Rfam family: Bacterial small subunit ribosomal RNA
Source: RNAcentral